Molecule: transfer RNA, 73 nt
Filed under: Candidatus Woesearchaeota archaeon
Lineage: Archaea; Nanobdellati; Candidatus Woesearchaeota
Description: tRNA-Val
Rfam family: tRNA
About the family: Transfer RNA (tRNA) molecules are approximately 80 nucleotides in length. Their secondary structure includes four short double-helical elements and three loops (D, anti-codon, and T loops).
Source: RNAcentral
GGGCCUGUGGUCUAGCGGUUAUGACAACACCCUUACACGGUGUAGGUCACCAGUUCGAAUCUGGUCGGGCCCA